CCUAGUACGAGAGGACCGGAGUGGACGCAUCACUGGUGUUCGGGUUGUCAUGCCAAUGGCACUGCCCGGUAGCUAAAUGCGGAAGAGAUAAGUGCUGAAAGCAUCUAAGCACGAAACUUGCCCCGAGAUGAGUUCUCCCUGACCCUUUAAGGGUCCUGAAGGAACGUUGAAGACGACGACGUUGAUAGGCCGGGUGUGUAAGCGCAGCGAUGCGUUGAGCUAACCGGUACUAAUGAACCGUGAGGCUUAACCUUACAACGCCGAAGGUGUUU
RNAcentral lists this ribosomal RNA (272 nucleotides) under Escherichia coli. RNAcentral describes it as "partial 23S ribosomal RNA". It matches the Rfam family "Bacterial large subunit ribosomal RNA", at positions 2677 to 2925 of the family's 2925-position model. RNAcentral also lists the same sequence under 1 other name. The record is from RNAcentral. Lineage: Bacteria; Pseudomonadati; Pseudomonadota; Gammaproteobacteria; Enterobacterales; Enterobacteriaceae.